RNAcentral lists this long non-coding RNA (296 nucleotides) under Olea europaea (common olive). Its description in RNAcentral is "long non-coding RNA (OEUR_LNC008586)". The record is from RNAcentral. Lineage: Eukaryota; Viridiplantae; Streptophyta; Magnoliopsida; Lamiales; Oleaceae.
AAAAUAACAAUGCAAUACAAUAAAGCAAUAAUACAACACCUAUGGCUGUGUCCAUUUCCUAAAGUGAUGUUAAUUUUGCACGACCUCGAAGCUGAACUGACACUAGUUGUCUACAAACUCUGCAUCAAUAAUUGGUCCCAAAUCUUCAGUUCAGUACUAUAAUAUUUGACAUCAGACAAUAAGAUGAAAAAUCAUGAGUAACACAAAAGUCCCAAAGCUUACUCAUAAUCAAGCACACCAUUGAGUCAAAAGUGUGAUGAAGAAGCUCAACAUCCAUACAUAUCUAUCAAGAAAAC